ACAGUAUUUCAUUACUUGGGCCAUGCCGAAACAACUCUACUUAUUGGUCUAAAGGCAAUGGGGUGAAGCAGUGGAAGAUCUUGAGGAAGAGUUCGACAUGGAGGAAAUCAAGAUUGCAUUCCUUUCUGUGGAGGCUCUGGAGAAGAGUCAGCUUUCUCAUUCAGACAGGGUCUCCACUCUGUUGCUCAGGCUGGAGUACAGUGGCAACAACCACGGCUCACUGCAUCCUCCGCCUCUCAGAUUCAAGCCAUCCUCCCACCUCAGCCUCAUGAGCAGCUGGGAAUACAGGCACAAGCCACUACACCCAGUUAAUUUUUGUAUUUCUUUUUUUUUUUUUUUUUUUUUUUGUAGAGAUGGGUUUCACCAUGUUGCCCAGGUUGGCUCUCCCUCACUUUAAUGUGCUUCUUGAAUUUUGCCAAGGAAUACAAACAAUGAAAUUACAAUAAAAAUGAUUCUUAACUGUUUACUGAAAACAAGGAAUCUGACAUGAUACGCUAUUCUAAUGUACAAAUAUAUUCAAAAAUAUAUUUUACUUUUACAAAGGUUUAAUAUUGCAGUGUCUUUGUGUUAGGGAGAAAUUAAUGUGUAAUCUUUCUCUAGCAAGUAAAAAAUUGUAUCAUAACUGUAAUGACCCAUUUGUUUGCAUGUCUGUUCUAAGGGCUUAGACAAAACUAACAAUGAACGUAAUUAUUCCCAUUUUUUAAAAAAAAUCAUUAAACAGUUUAUUUUCUGUAGGUUUAAAGUAAAAAUAAAAAGGAAGGAAUUCUGAUGGGCAUCAGAAAUCAGAUGGCUCCAAUAAAAAGAUUCAUGUCACAGGAAUCCACUUUUCAGUAAUCCCAAAUGUGUAUGUUAAUUAGUACAGUAUAAAAAAUAAGAUAAUUUUAUAAAACACAGGGCAGGCUCUUACGCUAACUAAAGGAAAACAAAUAGUGUUCAAACAUCAUGGAAGGCACAGUGAUAAGAAAUUUAAGAAUCAAAAGGCUCAUGAGCAGUACUUAAUCCUAAUAUUAUUGAAAAUGAUUAUUAAAUCAGAUUAGGUGGCAUGAGCAGUGUAAUUUUGGUUUACUAGGUUUUGAGUUCAGAAAAUCUGGUCAGGUAACAUUUUGGAAUGUUUGUCAUGUCUUCUUGUCUCUUUGGAUUGUCUGUUGUUUGCUUUCCUGUAUCCCCUUGGACCCAAUUACGAAUGGGCUUUUGCCUCAAUGUUGAUCUUAUCCUUGUUAAUUAAGGCAGUGAAUUGAAUUCAGUAUGCCCUUUUGGAUAAAAAUAAUGACUAAGAAUCAUUACUGAAAAUGCCUAUAUUCUGUUAAGAUCUUUGGGAUCUUUCUACCCAGGUUAAGUCCUUUGUGAACACAGAGCCCUCUAACUCUUGGAAAGUAAGUUUGAACUUUAAAAAUUUGCCAUGUAUAUUUCUUCUUAAAUUCUGAAGCAUUUAAGCUUAAUUGACACUUUUAGGUCAGCAUUUUGUAUUAAAUUUCUUCUUCAAAUAAUUGUCAUCUGUGUUGCAUAGACAAUCAGGACAAAAAUCGG
This 1527-nucleotide long non-coding RNA is filed under the name Homo sapiens (human). Its description in RNAcentral is "HSALNT0191413". Lineage: Eukaryota; Metazoa; Chordata; Mammalia; Primates; Hominidae. The record is from RNAcentral.